AUAGCUUUAAGUUAUAUAAACUAUAAACCUUCAAAGUUUAAAAAGAAAUUGUUUCAAGCUAUC
RNAcentral lists this transfer RNA (63 nucleotides) under Capillaria sp. cat-2018. RNAcentral describes it as "tRNA-Trp". The record is from RNAcentral. Lineage: Eukaryota; Metazoa; Nematoda; Enoplea; Trichinellida; Capillariidae.